GGUAACGUGGCCGAGUGGUCUAAGGCGCUAGUUUCAGGUUCCUGAACAUACUAGUCUUUCGAGGCGUGAGUUCGAAUCUCACCGUUAUCA
Transfer RNA from Sphaerobolus stellatus SS14, 90 nucleotides. It matches the Rfam family "tRNA". Rfam says of the family: Transfer RNA (tRNA) molecules are approximately 80 nucleotides in length. Their secondary structure includes four short double-helical elements and three loops (D, anti-codon, and T loops). Lineage: Eukaryota; Fungi; Basidiomycota; Agaricomycetes; Geastrales; Sphaerobolaceae. The record is from Rfam.